Molecule: long non-coding RNA, 1264 nt
Filed under: Bos indicus x Bos taurus (hybrid cattle)
Lineage: Eukaryota; Metazoa; Chordata; Mammalia; Artiodactyla; Bovidae
Description: lncRNA (ENSBIXG00005027375.1)
Source: RNAcentral
CAAGGAUCCCUGGGAUGAUGGUCUUAUGAGAGCCGAGUGAACAAAGAAAACAGGUGAAUUCAAUUGCCCAGAAGUGCCUGUUCAUCAGAGGCACUUUCCUGCUUCUGCCCCUCCCAGCGCCAUUCAUAGGUCGGCAACCUGAGAGAUUCCCACAGACCUGAGACUCCAGGCUGAACGGGGGCUCAGCUACACCGGCCCUAAUGCCAUGGGCUGAACCCCACUUUCUCCCUGACUGUUGAGGAGAAGAAGAGGAAAUGCAUGAGGCCAGACUCAUUUGUUUUCUGAGCUGAUGUGCGGAGACACACCUGCAUGUGCGGUUUCCCAGAAAACCACGCCAAGUGUAGGCAGGAUCGGCACACGUUCCUCGAGGGAAUUCCAACGGGUCAAUUUUAUCUUGUUUCAAGAGAACCGCUUGAAGAUGCUGGACAGGCACGACUCUGUGAAAAAGAACUGAAGAAUUUGCCCAGAAAAUACAAGUAUUGCCAUCAGACUGUGGAAAACAGUACAGAUAUGCUGCUGCUGCGUCGCUUCAGUCGUGUCCGACUCUGUGCGACCCCACAGAUGACAGCCAACCAGGCUUCCCGUCCCUGGGAUUCUCCAGGCAAGAACACUGGAGCGGGUUGCCAUUAAUAUGAGAAGGUGUGAAAUAGACAAAAAAAAUAGACAAAAAGCAGUGUCACGUGUGACGCUGGCAUUUUGUGUGGGUGACAAGUGUCGGCUGCUACGGGACAGGGAAAGAGCACCCUAGACAAGCACUGGCAAGAUGAUCAGAGUCCAGAAUGAAUCGGUCUGGGAAGACAGAUAAAUGUAGAAACAAAAAAUCUCCAAAUGCACUGAAAUAGCAUGGAGCGAAAAGCCACAAUCUGAGGUGGUCUAGGUUGUACAGUAAAGAUCGGUUGCACGCAAAUUCAAUGCAACUGGGUUUCUGGUAAGAAUCAUCACUUUGGGGUGUGCCUGGUGGCUCAGUAGUAAGGAAUCUGCCUGUGAAGGCAGGAGACUUGGGUUCAAUCCCUGGUCUAGGAAGAUCCCACAUGCCACGGAGCAAUUAUGCCCGAGCACCACAACUGUUGAGCCUGUGCUCUAGAGCCCGCAAACCACAACUACUGAAGCCCAUGAACUUGGGCUCCACAGAGAGAGAAGCCACUGGAAUAAGAAGCCCGUGCACACAAUUACAGAGUAGCCCCUGGUUGCCACAAAUAGAGAAAAACAUGCCCAGCAACGAAGACCCAGCACAGCUAAAAAUAAAUAAAUAAAUAAAAUUACA